GGAGGACCGAACCGACUAAUGUUGAAAAAUUAGCGGAUGACUUGUGGCUGGGGGUGAAAGGCCAAUCAAACCGGGAGAUAGCUGGUUCUCCCCGAAAGCUAUUUAGGUAGCGCCUCGUGAAUUCAUCUCCGGGGGUAGAGCACUGUUUCGGCAAGGGGGUCAUCCCGACUUACCAACCCGAUGCAAACUGCGAAUACCGGAGAAUGUUAUCACGGGAGACACACGGCGGGUGCUAACGUCCGUCGUGAAGAGGGAAACAACCCAGACCGCCAGCUAAGGUCCCAAAGUCAUGGUUAAGUGGGAAACGAUGUGGGAAGGCCCAGACAGCCAGGAUGUUGGCUUAGAAGCAGCCAUCAUUUAAAGAAAGCGUAAUAGCUCACUGGUCGAGUCGGCCUGCGCGGAAGAUGUAACGGGGCUAAACCAUGCACCGAAGCUGCGGCAGCGACGCU
RNAcentral lists this ribosomal RNA (449 nucleotides) under Escherichia coli. Its description in RNAcentral is "partial 23S ribosomal RNA". It matches the Rfam family "Bacterial large subunit ribosomal RNA", at positions 768 to 1215 of the family's 2925-position model. The record is from RNAcentral. Lineage: Bacteria; Pseudomonadati; Pseudomonadota; Gammaproteobacteria; Enterobacterales; Enterobacteriaceae.